GUAACACGUAAAGAACCUGCCCUCAGGUCUGGGAUAACCACGAGAAAUCGGGGCUAAUACCGGAUGGGUCAUCGGACCGCACGGUCCGAGGAUGAAAGGCGCUUCGGCGUCGCCUGGGGAUGGCUUUGCGGUGCAUUAGCUAGUUGGUGGGAUAAUGGCCCACCAAGGCGACGAUGCAUAGCCGACCUGAGAGGGUGAUCGGCCACACUGGGACUGAGACACGGCCCAGACUCCUACGGGAGGCAGCAGUAGGGAAUCUUCCACAAUGGACGAAAGUCUGAUGGAGCAACGCCGCGUGAACGAUGAAGGCCUUCGGGUCGUAAAGUUCUGUUGUAAGGGAAGAACAAGUGCCGCAGGCAAUGGCGGCACCUUGACGGUACCUUGCGAGAAAGCCACGGCUAACUACGUGCCAGCAGCCGCGGUAAUACGUAGGUGGCAAGCGUUGUCCGGAAUUAUUGGGCGUAAAGCGCGCGCAGGCGGCCUCUUAAGUCUGAUGUGAAAGCCCCCGGCUCAACCGGGGAGGGCCAUUGGAAACUGGGAGGCUUGAGUAUAGGAGAGAAGAGUGGAAUUCCACGUGUAGCGGUGAAAUGCGUAGAGAUGUGGAGGAACGCCAGUGGCGAAGGCGACUCUUUGGCCUAUAACUGACGCUGAGGCG
RNAcentral lists this ribosomal RNA (655 nucleotides) under uncultured bacterium. RNAcentral describes it as "bacterial SSU rRNA". It matches the Rfam family "Bacterial small subunit ribosomal RNA", at positions 110 to 753 of the family's 1533-position model. The record is from RNAcentral.